UUUUCAAUGUGUUGUAUUUUAUUUUUGUUUGUUGUUCAACAAUAUUGUUGAGUGUUUGUGAAUUUUAUUUUAAUGAGCCAUUUUUAUUUAAUUUAGCGGUAUUUUUAAAAUUCUGUUUCCUGCGGAAAUUGCUUUCCAUCUAUUGCACUUCCUGUUCCUGAGUCCGUCUCUCCCUCACAAUGGUCUGGUAUUGCUGACGGUGAGUCGAGUGGAAAAUUGUCGCACUGUUUUGGCUCUGUUCUUGAAUGAAAAGUGACCAGUUAUGUUACACACGUUAACGGUCGCUGAUACGAUCACGGUGUCCAGCUGUUGUGUGAUUUGAACGGUCAAAGUAAACGUUUUGUGACGGUCUCAUUGAGCCACUUUGACGCCGUUUGUCUGGCCACAUCCGGUCGCCCCGACGUCUGUUUUCCCUGUAUAAAUGUUGUUUUGUUUGUAUAGGAAGUGCAAAGACGGACCAGAAGGCAAUAGGUGUGUUUCAUUGUCUUCUGCAGUGUGGUCCUGUCUCCCACACAAUGGUUUGGUAUUGCUGACGGAAGUGCAAAGACGGACCAGAAGGCAAUAAGUGUGUUUCAUUGUCUUCUGCAGCAUAAAUAAAUGCUGGGAAAAUCCAC
This is a long non-coding RNA of Pseudoliparis swirei, 614 nucleotides long. RefSeq lists it as uncharacterized. The transcript is spliced from 2 exons. NCBI's taxonomy places the organism in Eukaryota, Metazoa, Chordata, Actinopteri, Perciformes, Liparidae. The record is from RefSeq and is a predicted model, not a curated record.